UGGUAACAUUGUAACUGAACAGCUCAUAUUUUUUUCACGAGCAUAUUCUAAAGUGGGGCCACAAUAAAACUGAUAAAUCGAGAAACCUUUCAAAUAUGACAAUUUUAAAGGAUACCUUACUAAUUUAACAGAAAGCCUUAGGAGGAUUUCGAAUUGUAGCGUUUUUCAUGGAUGAGUAUAUGGCAAGCAAUUUAAAAGGGACAGCUAAGGAAAGAUUGCCCACCAUGUAUGUAAUGUACUAAUGCGUGCUUGAAUUUGUACUUUAGACGAGGACAGAUUCUUUUUAUUACCUGAAAAUGGGAAUGUAGGAGAGCAUAUGCUAUCAUCAUGUCACAUAACUGAGUACAAAGCAGAGAGGGGUGAACUUGAAAAAGGCUAAAAGUGAAAGAGAAAUGAAUUCAUCUAUUAUUAAUUUCUUCAAAAAGUUGUAUAGGGAAGGAUAUUCAUUGUGAGACGUUAAUAAAUACUAAAAAGCAAAUAAGCAACAUGUAUUUCCUAAUCAACAUGGAACAGAUCAUUGAUUUCAGAGAGAGAAGUCACCUCCAGAGACAUAAAUAAGGUUUAAAAGAAGAAUUCAACCUUUAACAGUCAUUAACCAGCUAUGUAACUUGUGAUCGUUCACUAUCAACUCAUAGAAAAGAUAGAUGAUUACCAUCUGAGGAUGCUG
This 667-nucleotide long non-coding RNA is filed under the name Gossypium barbadense (sea-island cotton). RNAcentral's name for it is "long non-coding RNA (GBAR_LNC016357)". Lineage: Eukaryota; Viridiplantae; Streptophyta; Magnoliopsida; Malvales; Malvaceae. The record is from RNAcentral.